RNAcentral lists this ribosomal RNA (460 nucleotides) under uncultured bacterium. RNAcentral's name for it is "partial 16S ribosomal RNA". It matches the Rfam family "Bacterial small subunit ribosomal RNA", at positions 338 to 795 of the family's 1533-position model. The record is from RNAcentral.
CCUACGGGGGGCAGCAGUGAGGAAUAUUGGUCAAUGGGCGAGAGCCUGAACCAGCCAAGUCGCGUGAAGGAUGACGGCCCUACGGGUUGUAAACUUCUUUUGUCAGGGAGCAAUUGGGUCCACGCGUGGGCUUAGCGAGAGUACCUGCAGAAAAAGCAUCGGCUAACUCCGUGACAGCAGCCGCGGUAAUACGGGGGAUGGGAGCGUUAUCCGGAUUUAUUGGGUUAAAGGGGUGCGUAGGCGGAAUAUCAAGUAAGCGGGAAAAAUUCGGGGCUCAACCCCGUCGUGCCGUUGAAACUGAUGUUCUUGAGUGGGCGAGAGGUAUGCGGAAUGCGUGGUGUAGCGGUGAAAUGCAUAGAUAUCACGCAGAACUCCGAUUGCGAAGGCAGCAUACCGGCGCCCAACUGACGCUGAAGCACGAAAGCGUGGGUAUCGAACAGGAUUAGAUACCCGAGUAGUC